AGUGAACGCAGGCGGUAGGCCUAACACAUGCAAGUCGAACGGCAGCACAGUAAGAGCUUGCUCUUACGGGUGGCGAGUGGCGGACGGGUGAGGAAUACAUCGGAAUCUACUUUUUCGUGGGGGAUAACGUAGGGAAACUUACGCUAAUACCGCAUACGACCUACGGGUGAAAGCAGGGGAUCUUCGGACCUUGCGCGAUUGAAUGAGCCGAUGUCGGAUUAGCUAGUUGGCGGGGUAAAGGCCCACCAAGGCGACGAUCCGUAGCUGGUCUGAGAGGAUGGUCAGCCACACUGGAACUGAGACACGGUCCAGACUCCUACGGGAGGCAGCAGUGGGGAAUAUUGGACAAUGGGCGCAAGCCUGAUCCAGCCAUACCGCGUGGGUGAAGAAGGCCUUCGGGUUGUAAAGCCCUUUUGUUGGGAAAGAAAAGCAGCAGGUUAAUACCCCGCUGUUCUGACGGUACCCAAAGAAUAAGCACCGGCUAACUUCGUG
Molecule: ribosomal RNA, 492 nt
Filed under: uncultured bacterium
Lineage: Bacteria
Description: partial 16S ribosomal RNA
Rfam family: Bacterial small subunit ribosomal RNA
Source: RNAcentral